CUGUUUCCCAUUGAAUGUGAAUACUCGCACAAUAUUAAAGGACGUGGUUCUGUCAGAUCUUUUGCAAUCUUCACUAUGUCCCAGACACGCAUAUACAUGGGGCAUAUGAUGUCUGUAGAUGUAGUUCUGGAUCCACCACCUUCAUAGUGCAAUAACCGAGAGGUAUCCUUUCCACGAACCCAACCUGCUGCAGCAGAAUGAUUAGGUCCAUAUGAGGACUCAUUUCCUAAAGACCAAGAAAUUAUGCAUGCAUGAUUUUUAUCUCUCUCCACCAUCCCUAUCACACGAUCAGUCAUUGCAGUAGCCCAACUUUGUUCUGAAGUAGGAUGCUUUAGAUGCCCACAAAGAUGAAAACCAUGUGUCUCAAUGUUGGCUUCAUCUAUCAUGUACAUGCCAAAAACAUCACACAACUCAUACCAACGGGGAUGCUGGGGGUAAUGACUGUUUCUAACAGCAUUGAUGUUGUUUUGCUUCAUUAAAACCAGAUCCUUCACCAUGCAGGACUCUAUGUUUGUCUUCCCAACACGUGGAUGAUGCUCAUGUCUGUUCACUCCUCUUAUUAUAACUGGACAACCAUUAACAAGCAGCUGUUUAGGUGCCUUUGACACCUGUCUUAUGCCUACUAGGCAUGAUUCACAGUCAACCAUAUGCCCAGAUGCAUCUUUGAGGGUGAGAACAAGAAUGUAAAGGUUCGGUUGCUCUGCAGACCAAAGCUUCGGCUUUUCUAGUUUCCCCACUAGCACAUAACCAAGAAAUCCCAGAAUUGGAUCAAAGGAGGGAUUAAGUGCUAUGUCAGCCACCUUCGAGGAAAGAAGAUCAGCAGAUCCAUCACUACUGUACCAGCUUCCAGUGUCAUAUAAUGCACCUUCUAUGAUGAAGUUGCCAAAAAUUUUGUCUUUAGGUAUUUCUCGG
Molecule: unclassified non-coding RNA, 912 nt
Filed under: Hevea brasiliensis (rubber tree)
Lineage: Eukaryota; Viridiplantae; Streptophyta; Magnoliopsida; Malpighiales; Euphorbiaceae
Source: RNAcentral